This 161-nucleotide ribosomal RNA is filed under the name uncultured bacterium. Its description in RNAcentral is "partial 16S rRNA". It matches the Rfam family "Bacterial small subunit ribosomal RNA", at positions 358 to 511 of the family's 1533-position model. The record is from RNAcentral.
GGAAUCUUCCACAAUGGACGAAAGUCUGAUGGAGCAACGCCGCGUGAGUGAAGAAGGUUUUCGGAUCGUAAAGCUCUGUUGUUGGUGAAGAAGGAUAGAGGCAGUAACUGGUCUUUAUUUGACGGUAAUCAACCAGAAAGUCACGGCUAACUACGUGCCCG